AUGAUUCGGCCUCCCUCCAACCAUUGUCAUCGUAAAAUACAAGAAAGCACUCGCUUCAAUCCAUAUUUCAAGGAUUGUGUUGGAGCAAUUGAUGGGACUCAUGUGCUUGCUAGAGUCCCAAAAAGUAUCUCAGCUGCCUUUAGGGGUAGAAAGGUGGGGACUACCCAAAAUGUCAUGGCUGCGGUAGACUUUGAUCUAAAGUUUACCUAUGUACUUGCGGGUUGGGAGGGAUCAGCUCAUGAUGCCCUUAUACUUCCUACCAAACACAGUCUCAGCUCAGCAUGCAUCAGUACAUACAUUGCUACCAAACAACUGCAGUUGCAUGUACUG
RNAcentral lists this ribosomal RNA (330 nucleotides) under Triticum aestivum (bread wheat). RNAcentral describes it as "partial small subunit ribosomal RNA". Lineage: Eukaryota; Viridiplantae; Streptophyta; Magnoliopsida; Poales; Poaceae. The record is from RNAcentral.